RNAcentral lists this transfer RNA (253 nucleotides) under Klebsormidium nitens. It matches the Rfam family "tRNA". From Rfam's summary of the family: Transfer RNA (tRNA) molecules are approximately 80 nucleotides in length. Their secondary structure includes four short double-helical elements and three loops (D, anti-codon, and T loops). Further hydrogen bonds mediate the characteristic L-shaped molecular structure. tRNAs have two regions of fundamental functional importance: the anti-codon, which is responsible for specific mRNA codon recognition, and the 3' end, to which the tRNAs corresponding amino acid is attached (by aminoacyl-tRNA synthetases). tRNAs cope with the degeneracy of the genetic code in two manners: having more than one tRNA (with a specific anti-codon) for a particular amino acid; and 'wobble' base-pairing, i.e. permitting non-standard base-pairing at the 3rd anti-codon position. The record is from Rfam by way of RNAcentral. Lineage: Eukaryota; Viridiplantae; Streptophyta; Klebsormidiophyceae; Klebsormidiales; Klebsormidiaceae.
GGGGCUGUAGCUUAAUCGGUAAAGCGCCAAACCGCCGGUUCAAGAAACCGGCCCGUGGUCACAAUGACCUCGAGGGGCCGCUUUCCCUUCUAGGGGGGUGAUCCCUUGGCGGCACGGAGCUUGUCAAGCUCCGCGCUGCCUGCCGGGCCCCAGUGGUCCGGAGCCCGCGCGAAGCUCAGGAGUCCUCAGGAGGUUCCUGAAAGGUUCCUCCUGAGGAAGUUGAGAGAUGCGGGUUCGAGCCCCGCCAGCUCCA